UACGUAGGCAGCAAGCGUUGUUCGGAAUUACUGGGCGUAAAGAGUGUGUAGGCGGUGCUCUAAGUCUGUCGUGAAAUCUCCCGGCUUAACUGGGAGGGUGCGGCGGAAACUGGAGUGCUCGAGGAUGGGAGAGGUAAGCGGAAUUCCUGGUGUAGCGGUGAAAUGCGUAGAUAUCUGGAGGAACACCGGUGGCGAAGGCGGCAUCCUGGACCGGCAUUGACGCUGAGGCGCGAAAGCCAGGGGAGCAAACGGG
Molecule: ribosomal RNA, 253 nt
Filed under: uncultured bacterium
Lineage: Bacteria
Description: partial 16S ribosomal RNA
Rfam family: Bacterial small subunit ribosomal RNA
Source: RNAcentral